GUGCUAGCCUCAGCAGCAGAUACACUAAAGUUGGAACGAUACAGAGAAGAUUAGCAUGGCUCCUGCGCAAGGGUGACAUGCAAAUUCGUGAAGUGUUCCACGUCCGU
This is a small nuclear RNA of Mirounga angustirostris (Northern elephant seal), 107 nucleotides long. The record is from RefSeq and is a predicted model, not a curated record. NCBI's taxonomy places the organism in Eukaryota, Metazoa, Chordata, Mammalia, Carnivora, Phocidae.